UCGGAGACGGUGCUUGUGCGGGCGGUGAUGCGACACGCGUAUCCGAAAGACUCUCGGCAACGGAUAUCUCGGCUCUUGCAUCGAUGAAGAACGUAGCGAAAUGCGAUACUUGGUGUGAAUUGCAGAAUCCCGUGAACCAUCGAGUCUUUGAACGCAAGUUGCGCCCGAAGCCAUUAGGCUGAGGGCACGCCUGCCUGGGUGUCGCCCAUCGUUGCCCCAUUGCUUUGGCCUCGUGCUAGGCACCGAGCUGGGCGAAUGCUGGCUUCCCGCGAGCGACGCCUCACGGUUGGUUGAAAACUGAGUCCGUGGUGGAGGGCGGCGCCGUGACGGAUGGUGGUUGUU
Molecule: ribosomal RNA, 342 nt
Filed under: Crotalaria plowdenii
Lineage: Eukaryota; Viridiplantae; Streptophyta; Magnoliopsida; Fabales; Fabaceae
Description: 5.8S ribosomal RNA
Rfam family: 5.8S ribosomal RNA (bases 49-204)
Source: RNAcentral